AAAUUGAAGAGUUUGAUCAUGGCUCAGAUUGAACGCUGGCGGCAGGCCUAACACAUGCAAGUCGAACGGUAACAGGAAACAGCUUGCUGUUUCGCUGACGAGUGGCGGACGGGUGAGUAAUGUCUGGGAAACUGCCUGAUGGAGGGGGAUAACUACUGGAAACGGUAGCUAAUACCGCAUAAUGUCGCAAGACCAAAGAGGGGGACCUUCGGGCCUCUUGCCAUCGGAUGUGCCCAGAUGGGAUUAGCUAGUAGGUGGGGUAACGGCUCACCUAGGCGACGAUCCCUAGCUGGUCUGAGAGGAUGACCAGCCACACUGGAACUGAGACACGGUCCAGACUCCUACGGGAGGCAGCAGUGGGGAAUAUUGCACAAUGGGCGCAAGCCUGAUGCAGCCAUGCCGCGUGUAUGAAGAAGGCCUUCGGGUUGUAAAGUACUUUCAGCGGGGAGGAAGGGAGUAAAGUUAAUACCUUUGCUCAUUGACGUUACCCGCAGAAGAAGCACCGGCUAACUCCGUGCCAGCAGCCGCGGUAAUACGGAGGGUGCAAGCGUUAAUCGGAAUUACUGGGCGUAAAGCGCACGCAGGCGGUUUGUUAAGUCAGAUGUGAAAUCCCCGGGCUCAACCUGGGAACUGCAUCUGAUACUGGCAAGCUUGAGUCUCGUAGAGGGGGGUAGAAUUCCAGGUGUAGCGGUGAAAUGCGUAGAGAUCUGGAGGAAUACCGGUGGCGAAGGCGGCCCCCUGGACGAAGACUGACGCUCAGGUGCGAAAGCGUGGGGAGCAAACAGGAUUAGAUACCCUGGUAGUCCACGCCGUAAACGAUGUCGACUUGGAGGUUGUGCCCUUGAGGCGUGGCUUCCGGAGCUAACGCGUUAAGUCGACCGCCUGGGGAGUACGGCCGCAAGGUUAAAACUCAAAUGAAUUGACGGGGGCCCGCACAAGCGGUGGAGCAUGUGGUUUAAUUCGAUGCAACGCGAAGAACCUUACCUGGUCUUGACAUCCACAGAACCUUGUAGAGAUACGAGGGUGCCUUCGGGAACUGUGAGACAGGUGCUGCAUGGCUGUCGUCAGCUCGUGUUGUGAAAUGUUGGGUUAAGUCCCGCAACGAGCGCAACCCUUAUCCUUUGUUGCCAGCGGUCCGGCCGGGAACUCAAAGGAGACUGCCAGUGAUAAACUGGAGGAAGGUGGGGAUGACGUCAAGUCAUCAUGGCCCUUACGACCAGGGCUACACACGUGCUACAAUGGCGCAUACAAAGAGAAGCGACCUCGCGAGAGCAAGCGGACCUCAUAAAGUGCGUCGUAGUCCGGAUUGGAGUCUGCAACUCGACUCCAUGAAGUCGGAAUCGCUAGUAAUCGUGGAUCAGAAUGCCACGGUGAAUACGUUCCCGGGCCUUGUACACACCGCCCGUCACACCAUGGGAGUGGGUUGCAAAAGAAGUAGGUAGCUUAACCUUCGGGAGGGCGCUUACCACUUUGUGAUUCAUGACUGGGGUGAAGUCGUAACAAGGUAACCGUAGGGGAACCUGCGGUUGGAUCACCUCCUUA
This 1542-nucleotide ribosomal RNA is filed under the name Escherichia coli. Its description in RNAcentral is "bacterial SSU rRNA". It matches the Rfam family "Bacterial small subunit ribosomal RNA". Lineage: Bacteria; Pseudomonadati; Pseudomonadota; Gammaproteobacteria; Enterobacterales; Enterobacteriaceae. The record is from RNAcentral. RNAcentral also lists the same sequence under 1 other name.